Molecule: ribosomal RNA, 568 nt
Filed under: Aphelenchoides fujianensis
Lineage: Eukaryota; Metazoa; Nematoda; Chromadorea; Rhabditida; Aphelenchoididae
Description: eukaryotic LSU rRNA
Rfam family: Eukaryotic large subunit ribosomal RNA
Source: RNAcentral
GAGGCGCGUUUAGAGGACUUGGCGUGGCAACACGUCGAGAACCCUGAACGUGCGGAAGGCGAGUGCCGUUGGCUUGUUGCUUGUGGGAACGGGUGAAUUCGUGGGCGUUCGUUGCGGUGCUGGUAACUCGUGUACGACACAUGUGUCGUGCGCUUGCUUCUCGUAUCGUGUGCGUUCGUCUGCCCUCGUUCUCGACUCGGUGUAUAGUCGGUCACCCAUUUGACCCGUCUUGAAACACGGACCAAGGAGUUUAAGGUGUACGCGAGUCAUUGAGCUUAUUGUCGAAACUCAACGGCGUAAUGAAAGUGAGACUCUUGGAGUCGACGAUGUGAACGGGGCGCGUUUCGACGUUCUUCGUGCAACAUCGCCCCGUGACUUGGACUUGUCCUGUUGCGGAGGUUGAGCGUACGCUUUGAGACCCGAAAGAUGGUGAACUAUGCCCGAACAGGAUGAAGCCAGAGGAAACUCUGGUGGAAGUCCGAAGCGGUUCUGACGUGCAAAUCGAUCGUCUGAUUUGGGUAUAGGGGCGCAAGACUAAUCGAACCAUCUAGUAGCUGGUUCCUUCCGA